RNAcentral lists this ribosomal RNA (301 nucleotides) under uncultured bacterium. RNAcentral's name for it is "partial 16S ribosomal RNA". It matches the Rfam family "Bacterial small subunit ribosomal RNA", at positions 509 to 807 of the family's 1533-position model. The record is from RNAcentral.
CAGUCGCCACGGUAAAACGGAGGGUGCUAGCGUUGUUCGGAAUCACUGGGCGUAAAGGGCGCGUAGGCGGCCUGUUAAGUCGGAUGUGAAAGCCCGGGGCUCAACCCCGGAACUGCAUCCGAGACUGGCAGGCUUGAGACCGGGAGAGGAGGGUGGAAUAUCCAGUGUAGAGGUGAAAUUCGUAGAUAUUGGAUGGAACACCGGUGGCGAAAGCGGCUCUCUGGCCCGGAUCUGACGCUGAGGCGCGAAAGCGUGGGGAGCAAGCAGGAUUAGAUACCCGCGUAGUCCCUGUCUCUUAUAC